GGGGCUUAGCUCAGCUGGGAGAGCGCUGCGUUCGCAACGCAGAGGUCGAGGGUUCGAAUCCCUUAGUCUCC
This 71-nucleotide transfer RNA is filed under the name human gut metagenome. It matches the Rfam family "tRNA". From Rfam's summary of the family: Transfer RNA (tRNA) molecules are approximately 80 nucleotides in length. Their secondary structure includes four short double-helical elements and three loops (D, anti-codon, and T loops). RNAcentral also lists the same sequence under 1 other name. The record is from RNAcentral.